GCAUGGUAGAAGUAUCAAAGCUCCGGCGGUACAGGAUGGACCCGCGUCUGAUUAGCUAGUUGGUAAGGUAACGGCUUACCAAGGCGACGAUCAGUAGCCGACCUGAGAGGGUGAUCGGCCACAUUGGAACUGAGACACGGUCCAAACUCCUACGGGAGGCAGCAGUGGGGAAUAUUGCACAAUGGCGAAAGCCUGAUGCAGCAACGCCGCGUGAGCGAUGAAGGCCUUCGGGUCGUAAAGCUCUGUCCUCAAGGAAGAUAAUGACGGUACUUGAGGAGGAAGCCCCGGCUAACUACGUG
Molecule: ribosomal RNA, 299 nt
Filed under: uncultured bacterium
Lineage: Bacteria
Description: partial 16S ribosomal RNA
Rfam family: Bacterial small subunit ribosomal RNA
Source: RNAcentral